AUAGGGGAGCCGCAGGGAAACCGAGUCUUAACUGGGCGUUAAGUUGCAGGGUAUAGACCCGAAACCCGGUGAUCUAGCCAUGGGCAGGUUGAAGGUUGGGUAACACUAACUGGAGGACCGAACCGACUAAUGUUGAAAAAUUAGCGGAUGACUUGUGGCUGGGGGUGAAAGGCCAAUCAAACCGGGAGAUAGCUGGUUCUCCCCGAAAGCUAUUUAGGUAGCGCCUCGUGAACUCAUCUUCGGGGGUAGAGCACUGUUUCGGCUAGGGGGUCAUCCCGACUUACCAACCCGAUGCAAACUACGAAUACCGAAGAAUGUUAUCACGGGAGACACACGGCGGGUGCUAACGUCCGUCGUGAAGAGGGAAACAACCCAGACCGCCAGCUAAGGUCCCAAAGUCAUGGUUAAGUGGGAAACGAUGUGGGAAGGCCCAGACAGCCAGGAUGUUGGCUUAGAAGCAGCCAUCAUUUAAAGAAAGCGUAAUAGCUCACUGGUCGAGUCGGCCUGCGCGGAAGAUGUAACGGGGCUAAACCAUGCACCGAAGCUGCGGCAGCGACACUAUGUGUUGUUGGGUAGGGGAGCGUUCUGUAAGCCGUUGAAGGUGGCCUGUGAGGGUUGCUGGAGGUAUCAGAAGUGCGAAUGCUGACAUAAGUAACGAUAAUGCGGGUGAAAAACCCGCACGCCGGAAGACCAAGGGUUCCUGUCCAACGUUAAUCGGGGCAGGGUGAGUCGACCCCUAAGGCGAGGCCGAAAGGCGUAGUCGAUGGGAAACAGGUUAAUAUUCCUGUACUUGGUGUUACUGCGAAGGGGGGACGGAGAAGGCUAUGUUGGCCGGGCGACGGUUGUCCCGGUUUAAGCAUGUAGGCGGAUGUUCCAGGUAAAUCCGGAACGU
Molecule: ribosomal RNA, 892 nt
Filed under: Klebsiella oxytoca
Lineage: Bacteria; Pseudomonadati; Pseudomonadota; Gammaproteobacteria; Enterobacterales; Enterobacteriaceae
Description: partial 23S ribosomal RNA
Rfam family: Bacterial large subunit ribosomal RNA
Source: RNAcentral